Cydia pomonella (codling moth) is the source of this 1593-nucleotide long non-coding RNA. RefSeq lists it as uncharacterized. NCBI's taxonomy places the organism in Eukaryota, Metazoa, Arthropoda, Insecta, Lepidoptera, Tortricidae. The record is from RefSeq and is a predicted model, not a curated record. The transcript has 2 exons.
UGAGUAGCAUAUUAUAUAAGUACUUUAUAGGUUAGAAAAUGGUAUGUUUAUUUUGGUAAGAUUUGGUAGGUAAAAUAUCUUCGACACGGAUGUCAUAGUGGGUCAGUCAAGGACUGAGACCUGUAGUGAUAUUUUCAACAUUACAUAUACGCUUUUAGCUAUAUUGAGUGGACAAAACUUACCGGAGCGGUAGGUCAGUCUGUGCGUUCACUCCGUUGCAUUUUGCGCAUCCAUGUCGUGUUCCUGCGUUGUGCUAGGACACAGGCACUUUGUUUUCGUUGUGGUAUAUACAUUUCACAAUUGAAAUACAUUUUAAAACAUAGAAAUACCACGUAUUAACAGUAUGAUUUCGAUAAAACCGAGCAGUUGUUUAUUUCAGCGGUAGACACUGACGGCUGUCAAUGUCAUUUGGUUUUUUUGUCCAUGGUUCCGUAACAGACGGUCGGUCACCCUUGUUGUACGACAAUAAACAUAUACUUGUGGUUCUUUUAUCUUUUUAUAAUUUCCAAUUAUUAAUAAAGUCCGUAUUAUUUGCUUCCCAAAAUGAGUAACUCUUUUUAUUGUUGAUGUUUCGAAUUAUUCCGAGAGUCAAACCGGUCAGUCGCGGUAUCCAUUGAAUGGGAAGUUUUUCAUUCAUCAGUUUGUCUGUGGUUUCUCGGAUUGGAAUUUUGAUAAAUCAUUGUUCGAUCGAUCUUCGAGAUGUAAAGGAUCUUAGAAAAUCUUUGGGCAAUCAAUCUUAGGGCUCGUUCCAAAAUGUGCAUAAUUUAGCGUCUUAGAGCCUACCUAAAAUGGCGGCUGCUAAUCUUUUCCCUUCAAUUUAACAUAACUUGGUGAGUUUCCACACUUUUUAAAUAUAUAAAGAAGGAAAGGCGGAGGUAGUGUGUCCUUUCGCAAAUGGGUUAAUAUAGUGUUUUAUGUGGAUUUUCCAGCAAAACCUAAUGUAACGUCAACCACCUCUUCGUCUUGCCACGCGGUCUGCAGGCGCCGUCGUUGGUAUAGGAAAUAAUGGACCCGGCAUAAACCCCGGUAAGUCAUUUAAUCGCUUCAUUGCCGUAAUUUAAAUCGCGCUGUGCCUCAGUUUAAAAUAUAAUUUUUCUAUAAAACUAAACGUGUUAAAACAUAAUUUUUUUUAAACUAGAACAUUCUCUUUGUUCUUAGGGUUUUUUCUGGACCCUGGUUUUUUCUGGACCCUGGUUUUUCCUGGACCCUGGCUACUCUAAGGCUGUGCCAUCCGGUGGCAGCGUUCUUCUUGGCAGUGUCCGUGAAGUUAAGACUUUUAUGAUAUACCUUUAGUUAAAUAUGGACCCUUUAUGCUGAACAGGUAACCUGUAAUCCCUGUGAGCAAUUGCUUACUGCUAAACAUCCCCGGAGGUUGGGGCAUAACUUUUACUGUAGACAGUGUUAUGUUAGGAAGACAAAUUUUGAUAUUGUUGUCCGUAGACACAUGGAUGCCUAUGAUGUAUUUAGUGUAAAUUUCAAGAAAUAGCGGUGUCACUAAGAAGUAUUUAGUAUUACUUAUUUACUAAUAAAUAACUCGUGUUGACCAUAGCGGGUCAUAUAUAUUUAAGGAAUAAAAGGUGUGUAUUAAAUAAA